RNAcentral lists this ribosomal RNA (389 nucleotides) under uncultured bacterium. RNAcentral's name for it is "bacterial SSU rRNA". It matches the Rfam family "Bacterial small subunit ribosomal RNA", at positions 28 to 420 of the family's 1533-position model. The record is from RNAcentral.
GACGAACGCUGGCGGCGUGCUUAACACAUGCAAGUCGAGCGGUAAGGCCCUUCGGGGUACACGAGCGGCGAACGGGUGAGUAACACGUGGGUAACCUGCCCUGUACUCUGGGAUAAGCCCGGGAAACUGGGUCUAAUACCGGAUACGACACUUGAAGGCAUCUUCGAGUGUGGAAAGUUCCGGCGGUAUGGGAUGGACCCGCGGCCUAUCAGCUUGUUGGUGGGGUAAUGGCCUACCAAGGCGACGACGGGUAGCCGGCCUGAGAGGGUGACCGGCCCACACUGGGACUGAGACACGGCCCAGACUCCUACGGGAGGCAGCAGUGGGGAAUAUUGCACAAUGGGCGAAAGCCUGAUGCAGCGACGCCGCGUGAGGGAUGACGGCCUCGG